RNAcentral lists this unclassified non-coding RNA (488 nucleotides) under Hevea brasiliensis (rubber tree). Lineage: Eukaryota; Viridiplantae; Streptophyta; Magnoliopsida; Malpighiales; Euphorbiaceae. The record is from RNAcentral.
CUCUUAUAUACUCUUGCUGUGAUAAUUGCUCCUUAUUUUCAUACAGAGCCUUAUUCUGAACAAGAAGAUCAGCCUCUUUUUCCUUCAGCUUCUUAAAACGCUCUCCUAAAGGAGGAAGUCCUUCAAUAAUGGUACGUCUAAGAUAUUCAUUUGACCGUGCUUGUUUAAAGAACUGAUGUUUCAAAAGCUUUUCUGAGGUGGGACGUUUCUUUGGAUCCUUCACUAAGCAAGCAGCUACCAUCUCUUUAAAUGACUUAGAAAAUUUCUUGUCUCUUUCAUAGUCAAGUCCUGGAGGUGCAUUUUGUAAAGUCAUCAGCAAAACUUUCAUUGGUGGAUACUUGGAGAAAGGAGCAUGGCCAUGAGCAAGUUCAAGAGCAGUUAUUCCAAAUGACCAAAUGUCUGCUUUAAAGUCAUAUCCAUGUAAUUGCUGCAUAACUUCAGGAGCCAUCCAGCACGGAGUUCCAACAAAGGUAUUUCUGGAUCGCUGC